UGGGGGAUAUUGCACAAUGGGCGAAAGCCUGAUGCAGCGACGCCGCGUGGGGGAUGAAGGCUUUCGGGUUGUAAACCUCUUUCGCUAUCGAACAAGGCCCGCUUAGGGUGGGUUGAGGGUAGGUGGAGAAGAAGCGCCGGCUAACUACGUGCCAGCAGCCGCGGUAAUACGUAGGGCGCGAGCGUUGUCCGGAAUUAUUGGGCGUAAAGGGCUUGUAGGCGGCUUGUUGCGCCUGCUGUGAAAACGCGGGGCUUAACUUCGCGCGUGCAGUGGGUACGGGCAGGCUUGAGUGUGGUAGGGGUGACUGGAAUUCCAGGUGUAGCGGUGGAAUGCGCAGAUAUCUGGAGGAACACCGAUGGCGAAGGCAGGUCACUGGGCCAUUACUGACGCUGAGGAGCGAAAGCAUAGGUAGCGAACAGG
This 420-nucleotide ribosomal RNA is filed under the name bacterium. Its description in RNAcentral is "partial 16S ribosomal RNA". It matches the Rfam family "Bacterial small subunit ribosomal RNA", at positions 355 to 776 of the family's 1533-position model. The record is from RNAcentral.